AGCUGUUCAGAACUCGCAGACACAACUCUGGACUCCUUCCCACCAUAAACUGCACAGCUCCCCAUGGCACAGUUAUGCCUCUUCCUCGUUCUGCUUCUCUAGUUAUUUCUCAGGGUAAGGAAUAAACCAAAGUUUCUCCCACUUCAAUGUUACUGACUGAAUAGACCUCUGCAUGGACACUGGAAGGGACUCCCUCCUGGGUUGGUGCUGGAUGCACCAUGUGACCCAGCCUCUGGCCUCCCUGCACACCAGGAUGCUCCUCGUCUCCACCCAACAUGGUCAAGGAAACAAUGGCCAGCCCCUGUAGGAGCAGAACAGCCCAGCAGCACCCAGCUGCAAGGACCAGGCUCCUUGUACUGCACCCAUCAUCAUGAUAUCCAGUACCAAAUCCCUCUGGGAGAAAACAUCCACCACUGAAAUACAGCCACCUCUGGAGUGGAGCAUGGCAGCAGUUUUAUCGGGCAUGCCAAGACUACAUGAGAAUUUAGGACAGAAGUAAAGAGCACUGUACCCAACUGAAACUGCAGCUCACACUCCAUGCUGCUGCUCUGAACCGGAGACAAAGAAAGAGUCGGAAAGAUUCAAUCUUAGAAGGCCCAUAGCCCACCUGAACGGAGAAACGUGGCUCUCUCACCUGGAGAAUGGCCACACUGCAGCUCCCAUGGAUUCCCCGAGUGAGGGCUCAUCCCACGUACACCCUGCCCCUGGCUCCCGGGGCUCUCCCCUACAGCUUUGUAGGGCAAGAGCUAGAGGCCCUCAUGUUCUGCAGACCUGCCUAUCCAUGGGCUAUUUCCUGGCAUUGCAUUGGGAGCUCUCCAGAACUUAACAGCUCCAUCUUACCAGUUCCUGCCCAUCAGCUUUUUGGCUGCAGGAAAUCAAAGGGGGGAAGGGAGAGAAUACCACUGCCCACACCUGGGAGAUGUGGGUGGGCUGUGACAGGAAAGCCUCUUUCCCCGCAAUCCACAUCAGAAGUGUAGGAACACUUGUGGAGUCAAGUGGAGGGAAGAGUUCAGAGCCACCAAACCCACUGCAAGAGCCACCCAGCCACCGGCAGCUUUUCACUUCAUGAUUUACUACGACCGCGUGCUGCUCCUCCCCGGAGCAGGCGGAAUCUGUCUGCACACAAAGCGAACUGCCUCUGGAAUGCGGCUGCUGCCACGCUAAGAAUGGGGCUCCCCAGGGAGACGGCUUUGCUGAGUUAUGCCAAGCCAGCUGCACGGAGAAGCUGCAGCCGGGAAAGUAACUUCUCAGGUGGCUUUACAGUGCAGUGGAGAUCAGGGUGCCUGCAUCGCGCCCUCGUUACAAGGCCCGAAUGGAGAGAUUUCCAGGAGGAGAAGUUGCUUGGGCAGCUCCCUGGUUCAUUAAGCAUCAUAAUAAACCCUCUUGUCAUAACCCCUACCUGGCUAUUCACGGAGAACCCCUGGGGCCUGAAAGCUGCUCUGGGGGGGAGGGUGGGGGUGUCACCGGCCUAACCGCCUCCCAUAAUCUCUCCACACACACUUGCUUCUAACUGAGCAGGGAGGGGAGAGUCAGUCAGCUCUAGGGAGCCAGUGGGAGGAUUCAAGGAAAGGGCAUGUAGAUGCAGAGGGACAUCACAUGCCCUAAUGCACAGUUAUGCACUCUCACUUCCACAUACACACGCUUGUGCGCAUGCAGACACACACGGGCAGGAGUACUUGCACAGUACCAACGCACACACUACCACAAGUACGUACACACAUGCACCUGAUGUACAAACACACAUGCACGCAAUAUGCUUGUGUGUACACACACACAUGCUCACGCCCAGACUUGUGGACACACACACAUUCCAUGGCUGGGAAUCAAGGCCAGAAUAUUUGAAUAUGUUUUUUUUAAAUGAAUACAAACUUGUGACUGCAUUCGGUUACCCUCUGCUACUGAAACAAUCCCUUCGCCUUUGAAGGCUGCACCACGGUACUGUAGUGAUCACUCACUUCCUUGCAACUCGUGGAACAAGUAAACAGAUGUUGGGUGGCUGGUUAAUCACUUCACCUGUUUGCUACACAUUGCCACAGCUUUAUAGAUAAUAAAAAUCCACUAGCUGAA
Long non-coding RNA from Caretta caretta (loggerhead turtle), 2067 nucleotides. RefSeq lists it as uncharacterized. The record is from RefSeq and is a predicted model, not a curated record. Lineage: Eukaryota; Metazoa; Chordata; Testudines; Cheloniidae.